RNAcentral lists this ribosomal RNA (2928 nucleotides) under Escherichia coli. RNAcentral's name for it is "bacterial LSU rRNA". It matches the Rfam family "Bacterial large subunit ribosomal RNA". The record is from RNAcentral. Lineage: Bacteria; Pseudomonadati; Pseudomonadota; Gammaproteobacteria; Enterobacterales; Enterobacteriaceae.
GGGUUGUGAGGUUAAGCGACUAAGCGUACACGGUGGAUGCCCUGGCAGUCAGAGGCGAUGAAGGACGUGCUAAUCUGCGAUAAGCGUCGGUAAGGUGAUAUGAACCGUUAUAACCGGCGAUUUCCGAAUGGGGAAACCCAGUGUGUUUCGACACACUAUCAUUAACUGAAUCCAUAGGUUAAUGAGGCGAACCGGGGGAACUGAAACAUCUAAGUACCCCGAGGAAAAGAAAUCAACCGAGAUUCCCCCAGUAGCGGCGAGCGAACGGGGAGCAGCCCAGAGCCUGAAUCAGUGUGUGUGUUAGUGGAAGCGUCUGGAAAGGCGCGCGAUACAGGGUGACAGCCCCGUACACAAAAAUGCACAUGCUGUGAGCUCGAUGAGUAGGGCGGGACACGUGGUAUCCUGUCUGAAUAUGGGGGGACCAUCCUCCAAGGCUAAAUACUCCUGACUGACCGAUAGUGAACCAGUACCGUGAGGGAAAGGCGAAAAGAACCCCGGCGAGGGGAGUGAAAAAGAACCUGAAACCGUGUACGUACAAGCAGUGGGAGCACGCUUAGGCGUGUGACUGCGUACCUUUUGUAUAAUGGGUCAGCGACUUAUAUUCUGUAGCAAGGUUAACCGAAUAGGGGAGCCGAAGGGAAACCGAGUCUUAACUGGGCGUUAAGUUGCAGGGUAUAGACCCGAAACCCGGUGAUCUAGCCAUGGGCAGGUUGAAGGUUGGGUAACACUAACUGGAGGACCGAACCGACUAAUGUUGAAAAAUUAGCGGAUGACUUGUGGCUGGGGGUGAAAGGCCAAUCAAACCGGGAGAUAGCUGGUUCUCCCCGAAAGCUAUUUAGGUAGCGCCUCGUGAAUUCAUCUCCGGGGGUAGAGCACUGUUUCGGCAAGGGGGUCAUCCCGACUUACCAACCCGAUGCAAACUGCGAAUACCGGAGAAUGUUAUCACGGGAGACACACGGCGGGUGCUAACGUCCGUCGUGAAGAGGGAAACAACCCAGACCGCCAGCUAAGGUCCCAAAGUCAUGGUUAAGUGGGAAACGAUGUGGGAAGGCCCAGACAGCCAGGAUGUUGGCUUAGAAGCAGCCAUCAUUUAAAGAAAGCGUAAUAGCUCACUGGUCGAGUCGGCCUGCGCGGAAGAUGUAACGGGGCUAAACCAUGCACCGAAGCUGCGGCAGCGACGCUUAUGCGUUGUUGGGUAGGGGAGCGUUCUGUAAGCCUGUGAAGGUGUGCUGUGAGGCAUGCUGGAGGUAUCAGAAGUGCGAAUGCUGACAUAAGUAACGAUAAAGCGGGUGAAAAGCCCGCUCGCCGGAAGACCAAGGGUUCCUGUCCAACGUUAAUCGGGGCAGGGUGAGUCGACCCCUAAGGCGAGGCCGAAAGGCGUAGUCGAUGGGAAACAGGUUAAUAUUCCUGUACUUGGUGUUACUGCGAAGGGGGGACGGAGAAGGCUAUGUUGGCCGGGCGACGGUUGUCCCGGUUUAAGCGUGUAGGCUGGUUUUCCAGGCAAAUCCGGAAAAUCAAGGCUGAGGCGUGAUGACGAGGCACUACGGUGCUGAAGCAACAAAUGCCCUGCUUCCAGGAAAAGCCUCUAAGCAUCAGGUAACAUCAAAUCGUACCCCAAACCGACACAGGUGGUCAGGUAGAGAAUACCAAGGCGCUUGAGAGAACUCGGGUGAAGGAACUAGGCAAAAUGGUGCCGUAACUUCGGGAGAAGGCACGCUGAUAUGUAGGUGAAGUCCCUCGCGGAUGGAGCUGAAAUCAGUCGAAGAUACCAGCUGGCUGCAACUGUUUAUUAAAAACACAGCACUGUGCAAACACGAAAGUGGACGUAUACGGUGUGACGCCUGCCCGGUGCCGGAAGGUUAAUUGAUGGGGUUAGCCGCAAGGCGAAGCUCUUGAUCGAAGCCCCGGUAAACGGCGGCCGUAACUAUAACGGUCCUAAGGUAGCGAAAUUCCUUGUCGGGUAAGUUCCGACCUGCACGAAUGGCGUAAUGAUGGCCAGGCUGUCUCCACCCGAGACUCAGUGAAAUUGAACUCGCUGUGAAGAUGCAGUGUACCCGCGGCAAGACGGAAAGACCCCGUGAACCUUUACUAUAGCUUGACACUGAACAUUGAGCCUUGAUGUGUAGGAUAGGUGGGAGGCUUAGAAGUGUGGACGCCAGUCUGCAUGGAGCCGACCUUGAAAUACCACCCUUUAAUGUUUGAUGUUCUAACGUUGACCCGUAAUCCGGGUUGCGGACAGUGUCUGGUGGGUAGUUUGACUGGGGCGGUCUCCUCCUAAAGAGUAACGGAGGAGCACGAAGGUUGGCUAAUCCUGGUCGGACAUCAGGAGGUUAGUGCAAUGGCAUAAGCCAGCUUGACUGCGAGCGUGACGGCGCGAGCAGGUGCGAAAGCAGGUCAUAGUGAUCCGGUGGUUCUGAAUGGAAGGGCCAUCGCUCAACGGAUAAAAGGUACUCCGGGGAUAACAGGCUGAUACCGCCCAAGAGUUCAUAUCGACGGCGGUGUUUGGCACCUCGAUGUCGGCUCAUCACAUCCUGGGGCUGAAGUAGGUCCCAAGGGUAUGGCUGUUCGCCAUUUAAAGUGGUACGCGAGCUGGGUUUAGAACGUCGUGAGACAGUUCGGUCCCUAUCUGCCGUGGGCGCUGGAGAACUGAGGGGGGCUGCUCCUAGUACGAGAGGACCGGAGUGGACGCAUCACUGGUGUUCGGGUUGUCAUGCCAAUGGCACUGCCCGGUAGCUAAAUGCGGAAGAGAUAAGUGCUGAAAGCAUCUAAGCACGAAACUUGCCCCGAGAUGAGUUCUCCCUGACUCCUUGAGAGUCCUGAAGGAACGUUGAAGACGACGACGUUGAUAGGCCGGGUGUGUAAGCGCAGCGAUGCGUUGAGCUAACCGGUACUAAUGAACCGUGAGGCUUAACCUUACAACGCCGAAGG